Molecule: unclassified non-coding RNA, 314 nt
Filed under: plant metagenome
Description: partial contains 5.8S ribosomal RNA, internal transcribed spacer 2, and large subunit ribosomal RNA
Rfam family: 5.8S ribosomal RNA (bases 1-105)
Source: RNAcentral
GAAAUGCGAUAAUUAAUGUGAAUUGCAGAAUUCAGUGAAUCAUCGAGUCUUUGAACGCACAUUGCGCCCCCUGGUAUUCCGGGGGGCAUGCCUGUCCGAGCGUCAUUGCUGCCCUCAAGCACGGCUUGUGUGUUGGGCUUCCGUCCCUGGCAACGGGGACGGGCCCAAAAGGCAGUGGCGGCACCAUGUCUGGUCCUCGAGCGUAUGGGGCUCUGUCACCCGCUCCCGUAGGUCCAGCUGGCAGCUAGCCUCGCAACCAAUCUUUUUAACCAGGUUGACCUCGGAUCAGGUAGGGAUACCCGCUGAACUUAAGC